CAAUAGCGUAUAUUUAAGUUGUUGCAGUUAAAACGCUCGUAGUCGGAUUUUGGCUGAGAACGAACGGUCCGCCGUUAGGUGUGCACUGUUUGGUCUCAGCUUCCUGGUGAGGAGGUGUGCUUCACGGCCACUUAGUCACCGUGGUUACUUUGAAAAAAUUAGAGUGUUCAAAGCGGGCUUACGCUUGAAUAUAUUAGCAUGGAAUAACACCAUAGGACUCCUGUCCUAUUUCGUUGGUCUCGGGACGGGAGUAAUGAUUAAGAGGAACAGUUGGGGGCAUUCGUAUUUCAUUGUCAGAGGUGAAAUUCUUGGAUUUAUGAAAGACGAACUUCUGCGAAAGCAUUUGCCAAGGAUGUUUUCAUUGA
This 365-nucleotide ribosomal RNA is filed under the name uncultured eukaryote. RNAcentral describes it as "partial 18S ribosomal RNA". It matches the Rfam family "Eukaryotic small subunit ribosomal RNA", at positions 592 to 976 of the family's 1831-position model. The record is from RNAcentral.